Molecule: non-coding RNA, 111 nt
Organism: Caerostris darwini
Lineage: Eukaryota; Metazoa; Arthropoda; Arachnida; Araneae; Araneidae
Source: the annotation of a GenBank genome assembly
AACGGCCGUACCAUGCUGAAUAUACCGGUUCUCGUUAGAUCACCGAAGUUAAGCAUCAUUGGGCGCGGUCAGUACUUGGGUGGGUGACCACCUGGGAACACUGCGUGCAGU